CAAGUUCUUAAGCGGAAGGAAUGAAGUACUUUAAAUUUAUGGAGAAACAAACUGCUAGCACCUGAUUUUGAUUUUAAGGUAAGAUAGUUUUGUGGAUGACUAUGCCAGAAAGUAACUUGUAGUUUAACAUCUAAUAGAUUUAGAAAGUAUCUCCAAGAAUGGAGAUUCUAACUCAAAUAUUGUAACUGAGUUGAAAUUGACAUGAAAUAAUGACUACUCAGGUAGUCUAAUCAGCAGAUUAAUUUGGAAAGCUCAGAAUUUGAUUUAUAGUCCAUUCUGCAGAAUCUAAGGAAUGAGGCAGGAAAGUGGGCUCUUGAGAGUAGUGAAAUAGUAUCGCUUCCACACUUACCAGCUUUCAGAAAUUUUGGUUCUGGGGCCACUGUAGUGGUAGCACAGUGGUGGGGUGUUUGCUUUACCUGUGCCUGACCCAGAAAGAACAAACGUUUGAUCCCCUGCGUCCCAUAUGGUCCCCCAAGUCAAGAGCCAUUUCUGAGCGCAAAGCCAGGAGUAACUGCUGUGCAUUGUACUUAUUUUUAAAAACAGGGUCCGGAACAAUCAGCAUCGGGUAGGGCAUUCAGUAUUUAUUAGCCUUCUUUGCAGAUAACCUGGGAUCAAUCCCCAGCAUUCCAUAUGGUCCCCUGAGCACUGGUGGUGUGAUCCCAAAACAAACAAAGGCAAAAUAUAUGGUUAGAGAAGUUACUUAAAUAGAUGUCCCAAACUGAGGAAAUAGCUAAAUCAAAGUAAAGGCUUAACCUAAAAGAUGAGUGGUGGUACAAUUUUACAAAGUGGUUAGGACAUACAAAUAAUGUCAUCAAUGUUUUGGUACAGCAAAACGAUGACUGGAAAUCAACAGGUUAAAUUAUUAAAUUGACCUGUUAACACUGAUGUGAUUUACAUUUUUAAAGGGUUUAAACUACAAAAGAUGUGUGUCCUACAAAGCCUAAAAAUCUGGCAUUUUAUGGAGAUGUUUGGUGUCCCAUGUUUUACAUUGUUCCCAGAUGAUCAUGUAAGAAGUCUCUUAAAUAUAAGUUUCAAGUAACAAUCAUC
Long non-coding RNA from Suncus etruscus (white-toothed pygmy shrew), 1047 nucleotides. RefSeq lists it as uncharacterized. The transcript has 2 exons. The record is from RefSeq and is a predicted model, not a curated record. NCBI's taxonomy places the organism in Eukaryota, Metazoa, Chordata, Mammalia, Eulipotyphla, Soricidae.